CUUCUAAGAAUAAUCCACUUAGGAUGAAAGAAAGGGGAAGAAUAUAUCCACUGUGGGAGAAAUAAAACAAUCCUGACACAAAAAGACCCCUGUGUACCCAACAGAAGAGAGACAGAACACUAGUAUUGAAUUAGCCUUAACAGAUUUACAUGCAUGUAAGGUAGCAUGACAAUAACUAUAAAGCUGGCUCAUAUCUCAUAUGCUUUGAACAAAGAAUGGGGAAGAAUGAGAACUGCUUUUACUGCUUCAAAAGAAAAGAGGGUACACCUUGUGACAGUUUCCCCUAUACUGAGAAACCCUCAGCUCG
RNAcentral lists this long non-coding RNA (307 nucleotides) under Homo sapiens (human). Its description in RNAcentral is "HSALNT0087210". Lineage: Eukaryota; Metazoa; Chordata; Mammalia; Primates; Hominidae. The record is from RNAcentral.